CGCAAUCCUUGUUUUGAAUUUACAUCAUGAUUUGCAAGAAGAAGAAGAAACUCAAUUGCAAAACAUAGUUGUUGCACUUAUCGUAAAGAAUAGUACUAGUAUCUUGGGGUCCAUCGCAGAUGUAAUGAUCGACCCAUCCAAAAACAUAGGCACAAUGCCUUAGACUCAACCAAUAUGAUCUACUACUAGUAGUUAUUAACCAAAAUCUAAACAAUAAGCCUUGAUGGCUUGUGUUCAAGUAAUAUUAAGUCUGAUGACUCAUUUGCCAAUAAAAGAAACUAUAAGGGCUUAGUCUCAAAUGGCGAAGGGAUAAGGUUUGUCCUAAUCUCUCUCUUCCCCGUACGGUUAAAUCCCGUGAGGAUUUUCUCCAGAGAAAGAGAAAUAUCGCCACAUCCAUUUACAUCAGGAGAGAGUGGACGCGCCGGUCGUUGGUUGCCUCUGCCACCGCCGGGGAGUGCGUCUACACCUGGAGUGACACGGUCAACCGUUGGCCGCAGGCCACCGCCUGUGGCUGUGCGGCCGCAUCGUCGAUCUUGCCGCGAGGAUGAAGCGGCCGAGGGCUGGCGUGUGCUCUGCUAUGUGAGUCGCUCCGCCUUAGGACGGGCUUGCCUCGUCUAGAGUGCGUCGCCGCUGCCACCGCCGCAAGACAGAAAGCGCUACUGUUGCAGCGCCAUUGCUCGUGUGGGCGCCUACCGCUGUUGCCGGAGCGUCUAAUUAGACUGAAGGGCGUCGCACCAGAUCUGUUGCUGUGCCGAGAGGAGCGUCGCUGCGCCGUUGCGCGCCACUGCCUCCUGUCCCGCAGUGGGGUGCAACGAUGAGACUCCGUGCGUGCCGGAGGAUGUCGCUGCGGAGGGUCGGCCAUGGCCAUAUCCUCGGCGCCGUCGAUCUGCGCGGAUGUGAUCCUUUUCUUGUUCUGCUCUUUUUGUUUGUAGUUCACGAUUGAUCAAUUCUUCGUCAGAUUCGUGUGAGCGCAUAUACAUACAGGAGAAAAACAAUUCAUUGUUAGAUUAGUAGUAAUUGAUUGCAAGAAGACAAGAUCAGUCAAUCAAUCUCCUGAUUAGUUUCUUUCCUUUUGUACGAGGAACAUCUCGCCUUCGCCGUGAAUCGUGUGGUGGCCGAAACUCCAGUAGCCAACUUCUCCAGACUUCUCCGGUCAUCGUCUGCGGCAAUUGCAGAUCGCCGGAAUGGCCUCCGCUCUCGGUAGAGUUGCUGCGUUGGGAGGCUGGGUCAUGGUAUGAUGGCCUCUGGCCAUAGAGAGGCCUUGCCUUUUGCUGCCGCUGCCGCCGGUAGUCAUGUGGCGGAUUGAAGAGCCGGAGGGCUUCGCUUCGACGCGCCUACAGAGGAGGGCGUCUCGACCAUGGAGUGCCUCAGCCGCCUGCAUCACGCGCUCGUGGUGCGCCGCUGGAGCGCUGUCGAGGCCGAGGGUCCUUGUGUCCUUGGCGCUGGAGGGAGUCGCCGCCACAGCCGUGUAUCAGGCCGAUGGCCAGGGACGCUUGGUGCCGUCGAGUUCUUGGCCUACUUGCUCUCUGGAAGAGGCGUGCGUGAUAACGUGUUAAAGUAAAAAUGAUUGAGAGAAUGAACUUCUUAUUUUAUUGAUUGAAGAGUUGGG
This 1609-nucleotide ribosomal RNA is filed under the name Triticum aestivum (bread wheat). RNAcentral's name for it is "partial small subunit ribosomal RNA". Lineage: Eukaryota; Viridiplantae; Streptophyta; Magnoliopsida; Poales; Poaceae. The record is from RNAcentral.